UACGUAGGGGGCGAGCGUUGUCCGGAAUUAUUGGGCGUAAAGAGCGUGUAGGCGGUUCGGUAAGUCUGUCGUGAAAACCUGGGGCUCAACCCCAGGCGUGCGGUGGAUACUGCCGGGCUAGAGGAUGGUAGAGGCGAGUGGAAUUCCCGGUGUAGCGGUGAAAUGCGCAGAUAUCGGGAGGAACACCAGUAGCGAAGGCGGCUCGCUGGGCCAUACCUGACGCUGAGACGCUAAAGCGUGGGGAGCGAACAGG
RNAcentral lists this ribosomal RNA (253 nucleotides) under uncultured bacterium. RNAcentral's name for it is "partial 16S ribosomal RNA". It matches the Rfam family "Bacterial small subunit ribosomal RNA", at positions 524 to 776 of the family's 1533-position model. The record is from RNAcentral.